AACGAACGCUGGCGGCGUGGAUAAGACAUGCAAGUCGAGCGGGAACUUUCGCUGUAGCAAUACAGUGAAAGUUCUAGCGGCGAACGGGUGCGUAACACGUGGACAAUCUGCCUUAAAGUGGGGGAUAGCUCGGCGAAAGCCGAAUUAAUACCGCAUGUGAUGAGAGACGACAUCGUCUUGAAUUCAAAGCCGGGGCAACCUGGCGCUUUUUGAGGAGUCCGCGGCCAUCAGCUAGUCGGUGAGGUAACGGCUCACCAAGGCUAUGACGGGUAGCUGGUCUGAGAGGACGACCAGUCACACUGGAACUGAGACACGGUCCAGACACCUACGGGU
This 333-nucleotide ribosomal RNA is filed under the name uncultured bacterium. RNAcentral's name for it is "bacterial SSU rRNA". It matches the Rfam family "Bacterial small subunit ribosomal RNA", at positions 29 to 346 of the family's 1533-position model. The record is from RNAcentral.